Molecule: ribosomal RNA, 492 nt
Filed under: uncultured bacterium
Lineage: Bacteria
Description: partial 16S ribosomal RNA
Rfam family: Bacterial small subunit ribosomal RNA
Source: RNAcentral
GAUGAACGCUAGCUACAGGCUUAACACAUGCAAGUCGAGGGGAAACGACAUCAAAAUCUUGCUUUUGAUGGGCGUCGACCGGCGCACGGGAGAGUAACGCGUAUCCAACCUGCCCAUCACUUGGGAAUAACCUUGCGAAAGUAAGACUAAUACCCAAUGACAUCCCACGAAGACAUUUGAAUGGGAUUAAAGUUUUAUCGGUGAUGGAUGGGGAUGCGUCUGAUUAGCUUGUUGGCGGGGUAACGGCCCACCAAGGCAACGAUCAGUAGGGGUUCUGAGAGGAAGGUACCCCAGAUUGGAGCUGAGACACAGUCCAAACUGGUAGGGGGCGCAGGAGAGAGGAAUAUUAGGGGAUGGGCGAGGGCCUGAACCAGCCAAGUAGCGUGCAGGAGGACGGCCAUAUGGGUUGUAAACUGCUUGUAUAAGAGAAUAAAGUGAGUCUCGUGAGACGUUUUGCAUGUACCUUAUGAAUAAGCACCGGCUAAUUCCGUG